Prionailurus viverrinus (fishing cat) is the source of this 425-nucleotide long non-coding RNA. RefSeq lists it as uncharacterized. NCBI's taxonomy places the organism in Eukaryota, Metazoa, Chordata, Mammalia, Carnivora, Felidae. The transcript has 3 exons. The record is from RefSeq and is a predicted model, not a curated record.
GCCCCCUCACUGCUGUGUCCACUGUCCCAUUCCUUCAGGCCAGGCCAGGUGUCCCCCUGUGUGACUUCCCAUCACCUCAGGACAAACUGUGCUCUACUCAGGCUCCACAUACACACAGACCCAAGUCUGCAGGAGCCCGGGUGUGGCACUGACCUCAGAGCACGAAGGGCAAACCUGCAGGAAGCUCCAGGAGGGAAGGAGUGACAGCUGCGGGUGCUCUGAUGGGGACCUCGUCGCAGACUUUAUGUGUCUGUCACCACUUGGACAACUGCUACCUCAAAGUGAAGGUCUGGUCCUUCAAGAAGGAAAGCCCAACAUGGUGCCCAGGGAAGCACCAUUAGUAGCCUGUUCCUGUGAACUUCAGACUCAUCUCAGUGAUGGAAUUAAACACAGAACUUCCAGGAUGGACUGACUAGGAGUCAGAC